Molecule: ribosomal RNA, 552 nt
Filed under: uncultured bacterium
Lineage: Bacteria
Description: bacterial SSU rRNA
Rfam family: Bacterial small subunit ribosomal RNA
Source: RNAcentral
UGAGGAAUAUUGGUCAAUGGGCGAAAGCCUGAACCAGCCAUGUCGCGUGCAGGAUGACGGCCCUAUGGGUUGUAAACUGCUUUUUUACAGGAAUAAUUGCAGAUACGUGUAUUUGUUUGAAUGUACUGUAUGAAUAAGGAUCGGCUAACUCCGUGCCAGCAGCCGCGGUAAUACGGAGGAUUCGAGCGUUAUCCGGAUUUAUUGGGUUUAAAGGGUCCGUAGGCGGUUCUUUAAGUCAGUGGUGAAAUCCCAGAGCUCAACUCUGGAACUGCCAUUGAAACUGAAGAACUUGAAUAUGGUUGAGGUAGGCGGAAUACGUUAUGUAGCGGUGAAAUGCAUAGAUAUAACGUAGAACACCAAUUGCGAAGGCAGCUUACUAAACCAUUAUUGACGCUGAUGGACGAAAGCGUGGGGAGCGAACAGGAUUAGAUACCCUGGUAGUCCACGCCGUAAACGAUGAUUACUCGUUGUGCACAAUACACCGUGCGUGACUGAGCGAAAGCAUUAAGUAAUCCACCUGGGGAGUACCUUCGCAAGAAUGAAACUCAAAGG